UACGAAGGGUGCGAGCGUUGCCCGGAUUUAUUGGGCGUAAAGGGCGCGUAGGCGGCCACGCACGUCCGUUGUGAAAUCGCCCGGCUCAACUGGGCGGGGUCAGCGGAUACGGUGUGGCUCGAGCAAGCUAGGGGGCAAUGGAAUUCCCGGUGUAGUGGUGGAAUGCGUAGAUAUCGGGAGGAACACCAGUGGCGAAGGCGGUUGCCUGGAGCUUUGCUGACGCUGAGGCGCGAAAGCGUGGGGAGCGAUCCGG
RNAcentral lists this ribosomal RNA (253 nucleotides) under uncultured bacterium. RNAcentral describes it as "partial 16S ribosomal RNA". It matches the Rfam family "Bacterial small subunit ribosomal RNA", at positions 524 to 776 of the family's 1533-position model. The record is from RNAcentral.